CUUGAGACCCUAGUUAAGCCUUAACAUCACAGACCUCAAGUGAUGGGAAAAAGCCGUCCUUUUUAACUCUCUUAUUUUGAACAGGCGAACACCACAGUACAAUUCAUAUCGGGUGAUAAUUGUACAGGGUGCAUCGGGCUAUGUCGAACAGGUAUAGGUGUGUUUGUGUUGGUAAGUUCAGGACGAUGGUGAGACGGCCUUUGUGGGAGUGAGAUAAACUCACGCACACCGAGCCCGACCGGCCAAGAUCCUGCGCAAACUAAAAGCGAUGACGUCCGUGGUGUCCAACUGUGAUUUUACCAUCGACACUACCUGGUCAACGGUGACGGUUUUAGCUAACUUAGACAGAUGUAGCCACAUAUAGUUUGCUCUUGGUAGUUGUGACACGGUUGGGAUCGACGUGGUGGUGGUAUCGGUUCCUAUUAUUAUUGGUGGUAGUGAAGGGCGAUUUCUUUGGUGAGUAUUGUCGGUGUCUGUAUUUACAGGGUAUAGUGGAGCAUUGUCAACAACAAUGGCUUCCGUGGAUGCAACAACGUCACGGAACAACCUUCUACGCUUUCCACUCGGGAGGGCAUCUGGGGGCGAUACGUUGAAGCGUUCGCUAGGAGCUUGGUGAGCCGCGGCAAAACUGGCAAAGCCCUCACGGAUUUCGUGCAUCACAGGCGGGACUAAAGCAGCUUUCAUCACCUCGACAGCGGCAGUAAGAGCCGCCUGGAAGCCGACCUGCAUACCCGUUGUUUUAACUGCUUUACUAUGUGGGUUGCCAAGAGCAUUCGAACACCUUACACAGCUCCAAUGAAGAGAUGCCGUCCGUUUUACCUCUUCGAUCACAGUGAAAGUUGCCGUUGCAGAUAGAUGCCACAGGACUCAGGAACAAACGCAGGAAUACAGCAAAGUCAGGAAUGGUUGUGGCGAACAAUUGAAGGCAGGACUACCAGAGACAGCUUAUGUCACAGCUAAGCGGCAGUUUGACGAAAAUUAGGUCGAGACAACAAAAUAAUUCACGAAUUUACGCGGAGCACAGUGAGAAAACACACUCAGUCGUCAGCUGUCAACUGUCAACUGUGUUAUUUUAAAACUUGUUGGUGGAGGGUAUAUCAUAGUAUAUAUGUAGGAAAUAGGAGACAGUUGUCAGUAGUCAGACAAGGGAAGUGAGACGAGUGUCAAGGAAUGAAUUUAGGAUCACCCUGUGCUGAUGUCAAUCGAACUGACGACGCAGUAGGUUUAGCUAGAGCGAAACAUUCACGCGGGAGAAGCCAAGCGAAGCAGACGAAAGUGAAUAAGUGAACUGUAAAACCAUCUCUUUCCGCGUACCCUCUUUUCUUCUACGUUCUACAUGGGGGCUCAACCGGGAUGAGGCUAAGCAAAGUGAUGAGUUUACAGUUAUGAAAAGUUGCAUAAUGUCUUAAAGUUGAUAAAGUUGUUCAUGUCGUAAUGUUGAUAAAGUUGUAAAGUUGUUAAAGUCGUUCAAGUCGUAAAGUUAGUAAAGUUGUUAAGUUGCAGUAGUGGUUCGAAUUGGAAAAGUUGAAUUAGUUGGUGUUUCAUCCGAUGUGAAAGUGUGAAUUUGUGCCGAAAAGUUGACGUUGUGACGCAUAAAGGUUGUUAAAGUUGCGAUUGUGACGUUGUAAAGUGUGUUUAAAUAAAAGCUAAAGUUGUGCAAAACGUUAAUGAGAAAAUGGUGAACGCGUUGAUUGCAGCGAUGGUCGAAGACCAUACGCGGUUGGGUUUGGUGAAAAAAUGUGAAGAGCGUGAAUUAAGUACGAUCGGAACAAAAGAGGAGCUGGCCGCACGCGUCGUCGCGUAUGAUCGAGCUGAUGUAGCUGAUUUUGCGGAUGCUGAGUUGCCCACGGUUAACCGAGUGCAACCAUACUCCUUGCGCGAUGUCGAAGAUGGUGUUGAUGCAUUUGGCGCCGGAUCUACGCAAGUUGUGCGCGCAUGGAUCAGAAGUUUUGAGGAGAUUACGAUGGCUGGAGGGAAAGAGGAUCAGAAAUUUAUCAUGUGCCGUAAAAAGUUGACCGGAGUCGCACUUGGUUUUCUAAAUACGCUGAAAGGUGUGACGACAUAUGCAAAUCUACGUAGGGCGUUGAUUAACGAGUUUGCUCCAAGUGUGCGUGCAAGCGACAUACACAGGCAGCUAUCGACGCGUCGCAAGAAAAAAGUGGAGACCGUGAUAUAAUUUGUUUACGCCAUGCAGCAAAUUGCGCAGCAAAUCGAUUUAGACGAAGCCAGUCUCGUAGAAUAUGUGGCAGAUGGAAUAACUAACGACGAAAAGCAGAGGUCAAUGUUCUACGAGGCAAAUAAUAUUAACGAACUUAAGGAGAAAAUACGUUUGUUCGAGAGAGCGGCGAACAAGUUUCAACAGGAACGCCCAAAAGUCGUCGGGCAACGAAUUCCGGAUAAGUUAAAACAACGCCAUUGUUUCAAUUGUGGCAGCGCUUCUCAUCGAGUUAUCGAAUGUCCAACAAAACAAGAGGGUCCGACGUGUUUCAAAUGUGGAACAAAAGGACAUUGCGCAAAAGAUUGUACGACAGCGCAAGGAAGAAGACCGCAUUGUUACGCUUGGGGCGAAGUUGGGCAUGUUGCUGCACGAUGCCCGAACAACAGUAAUAAUAAUAGAGUUCAAACAAUGACGAGCUCAUUUCCAAUUGUGCGUGUGUCAGUUGGAAACCAGUUGUGCGAAGCGGUGAUCGAUACGUGCAGUGAUGUGACGCUGAUGCGCUGGGAUUUGUUCCUGGAAUAAAAACUCAAUUGUAACGAGUUGAAACCGUCUGCACGGGUAAUAAAAGGCUAUGGUGGAAAACAAAGCAACGUGUGUGGUGAGUUGACGAUCCGUGCUACCAUCGAUGAAGUUGAGGAGAUAAUUCGUUUCGUGGUGGUACCUUCGAAUUCUAUCGACACCAAAAUGCUGAUAGGAAUCGAUGUGCUCAAAAGGGUUAACUACGUUAUCACAAACGGUCAUGCAAAGAUAACAAAGCAACAGGAGGAAGAGGAAAACCCCACGAGUGUGAUGAUCGUUGGGUGUAUCGUAUAGUUUGUGAGAGUCAUCAAGAAAUAGACGCACCGUCAAAUUAUCGUCGCGUGAUUUGUGAUAUGGUGAAUAAUUAUGAACCAGCAAUGAUUUCUAACGUUGAAAGUGAGAUGAAAAUAUUAGUGAACAAAGAGGAAGUAGUGCGUACGUUGCCAAGAAGAAUAGCUCCGGUAGAGAAAGAGGUGGUAAGGAAACAAGUUCGCGAAUGGUUAAAUGACGGAAUAGUUCAGCCAUCGCGAAGCCCUUACGCUAGCGCAGUUGUGGUUGUACCGAAGAAGGAUGGAUCUCACCGUGUGUGUGUGGAUUAUCGUGAGAUGAAUAAGAGGAUCGUGCGGGACUCUUAUCCGAUGCCCAAUAUCGAAGACCAGAUUGAUCAGUUGGCAGAUGCUCGUGUGUACAGUGUAUUAGAUCUGAAAAAUUAGUAUUUUCACAUCAAGGUGGAGAAGGAAAGUCGCCAGUGCACAUCUUUCGUAACAACGGAUGGGCAGUAUGAGUUUUUACGUGCUCCGUUUGGAUUGUGUCUCAGCGGCAAUGCGUUUGGACGCUUCAUCGAUGCAGUACUUCAUGAGUUGAUCAUAGACGGCACCGUGAUGGCCUUCGUAGAUGACAUCAUCAUUCCGUCUCGAGACGAGGAGCAUGGUUUGGCGUCUUUGCGGCGAGUUUUAGAAGUGGCACAGCGGGCAGGACUUCACUUCAAUUGGAAAAAGUGUUCGUUCCUCAAACGGCGUGUGGAGUAUUUGGGGUAUACCGUCUAUGAAGGUAAGAUUGAACCUGCUCCCCAAAAAAUAGAAAAAGUUAAAUAUUAUCUGCAGCCACAAACGGUGAAACAGCUGCAGUGUUUUUGAAUUUGAUGAAGAGGCAAGAGCAGCUUUUGAAACGAUUAAAGAAAAAUUAGUGGAAUCUCCAGUAUUACACAUUUUCAAGGCGAGUUUGGAUACCGAAUUGCAUACUGAUGCGAGUAAAGAUGCUCUGGACGGCAUAUUGUUGCAGCGUUCUGAGGAGGAUGGUUUAUUACAUCCUUGCUAUUAUUAUAGUAGGUUGACUAAUAAGGCCGAGAAAAAUUAUCACUCAUUCGAAUUAGAAUCGUUAGCCGUUGUGGAAUCCAUAAAGAAGUUCAGGUGUUACUUGCUAGGUAAGAAAUUUAAAGUUGUGACCGAUUGUAUAGCGUUUAAACAAUCCUUAAACAAAAAAGUUCCCAAUGCACGAGUGAGUCGUUGGUUUGUAACGUUGUCCGAAUUUGAUUUUGAAGUAGAACAUCGUUCAGGUGAUGACGCUCUUUCAAGAGCAAACGUACUGAAAAUAUCGGCAGGUGUAUGUGAGAAAAUAAUACAAGGACAAUUGCGCGAUGAAGAUCUUACGGCAAUUAGGACGGCGCUUGAUCAGGGCGAAGAAAGAAAAGGUUUUUGUUUGGUAAAUGGAGUACUUUAUAAAAAUGAGAAUGCUCAUAACAAAAUAUGUGUACCUCGAGCAAUGAAGACGGGUAUGAUAAGAGAAGUACACGAACGAGGCCAUUUUGGGAUCAAGAAAAUGAAAGAACAACUAAUAGAGGAUUAUUUUAUUCCAGAAAUAGAAAAGAAGAUAAAAUAUUGUAUUGAUAACUGUGUCCGAUGCAUAGUGAAUGACAGAAAACGAGGCAGGGCAGAGGGAGAACUUCAUCGAAUACCGAAAGGAGAAGUUCCGUUGGAUACUUUUCAUGUUGAUCAUAUUGGCCCUAUGCCAUCUACCCGCAAAUGUUACAAUUACAUUCUUACCGUUGUCGAUGCGUUUACGAAGCAUGUUUGGCUAUUUGCUACCAAAACUACUAGUGCGGAAGAGGUUAUAAAAAAAUUGACGAUUAUAUCUGAUACGUUUAGAAAUCCGCCAAGGAUAAUUUGCGAUAGAGGAUCUGCUUUUACCUCUGGUUUAUUUACAAAAUUUUGCGAAGAAGCCAAUAUAGAAUUGCAUCACAAUGUUAGAGGAGUCCCACGAAGGAAUGGCCAAGUAGAGCGUGUACACCGCAUAAUUAUCCCUACAUUAGCGAAGUUGUCGUAUGAAAAUCCCGAAAAUUGGUUUAAGUUUGUAAAUAAUGUUCAAAAGGCAAUCUAACUGACGACGCAGUAGGUUUAGCUAGAGCGAAACAUUCACGCGGGAGAUGUCAAGCGAAGCAGACGAAAGUGAAUAAAGUGAACUGUAAAACCAUCUCUUUCCGCGUACCCUCUUUUCUUCUACGUUGCACAUAAAUAAUAUAUCAUAUAAUGUAUUUUGUAGAGGGUAAAGGUUAAGGAUGUAUUAAAUAACAUUUUCAAAGAGGGUAUAUCAUAAUAAAAAUAUAAAAUAAUUUUCAUUACACAGUUACAAGGGAAAGAUAUUUGUUUAAUCUACAGGCAACUUCAUUGAAGUUUUUUUAAUGAACAGAUCAGCACAAACUGUCGCAUGUACAUGCUUUUAAUAAUAAUUGUAAAAGUUAGUGACAAAACCAAGUGAUUCAUUUCAUGUUUGUUGAUAAAAGUAUCAAGUAUUAUGUAAACACAAUUAUUUUUGGUAAUUUGGACCUAUUACUACAUUUUAACGACAAUACCAAUCUUUAAACAAAUUAUCCAAUCUACCUGAGAUCCAUAAGUAGUGUAACAUCCAGUAACACAGUUAUAACUAAAAUUUUAGAAUAGUUGAUUGAUCGUAUGGUAUCUUUUGAUCAUUCCGUACAAACACUAAUCUCCAACAUCUAUUUUUUUUUCUUCUAAUACUACUCAAUGCGUUUCGCAUCCCAUACGAGGAUACAUCGAGGAAAAGCUAUCCCCUUACGUGACAACUGCGCUUACUACGGCAUUUCAUCCAGCCUCAACAGUUCCGCUUGUUUUUUAAAUAAGAGCUCUUUGGAACAUUGCUCAUAUCAAGGAUUUAUUUCAUAAUUCUAUAUAGUGCAUUUACACAACUCUAAGAACAUCUCCUGCAGGGUAUUUAUCUCCUCAAUGGACUCCACUGUGCAAAAGGUUGGCAAAGGGGUUUUAUCCGUGAGGUUCAAGCAGG
Anopheles merus is the source of this 6034-nucleotide long non-coding RNA. RefSeq lists it as uncharacterized. NCBI's taxonomy places the organism in Eukaryota, Metazoa, Arthropoda, Insecta, Diptera, Culicidae. The record is from RefSeq and is a predicted model, not a curated record. The transcript is spliced from 5 exons.